RNAcentral lists this long non-coding RNA (6903 nucleotides) under Brassica napus (rape). RNAcentral's name for it is "long non-coding RNA (BNAP_LNC001992)". The record is from RNAcentral. Lineage: Eukaryota; Viridiplantae; Streptophyta; Magnoliopsida; Brassicales; Brassicaceae.
GCCAUUAACUGAUUUCUCUCUUACUUCUUCUUCCUCCUCCUCCUCGUGAACACUCCCAUUAGCUCUAGCAACGUCUCCUCCGCCUCCACCGAAGUCGCAGUUUCUACACUUGUUAGCCAUGGAGGUCGCGUAGAGACGCUCAACGAUGUUAUCUCUCCGCCGCUUCAGCUCUUGACCGUAAUCAAGAGAGGCAACGAGGAUCGCUGUGUCUAUAAAUGUCCAGACAUCGACGCCUGCGUUAUCCAUAACCGACCGAAAAUCAUCCAAAUCCAUCACCAAACGCUUCCCAAAGUUCGUUACUUUACAGAAAUAGAAAAUAAAAACAGAGGAGACGACGAGAUCUACAAAAACCGAUCUUUCUGAUGAAUUCAAUUCAUCGAGAGAUUGAAAACCCAACAGAGUUUAGACUCAAUUCAAUCGGAAUCAGAUUAAAUCCGAUGAGAAAGGCAGACCCUUUGGUUGAUGAAUCUGUGUUAUUACAGAAAAACAGAGAAGAAGAAAAAAAAAACAGAAACAGAGAAAAAUGGGAGAAGAAAGGGAAUAUUCCAAGUUUGAGUCUUUUAGAAUAUGUUUUUUUUUUCUUUUGUUCGGUAAAAAAUAUUCUUCAGACAAAACCAAUCACAAGUUAAAAGAAAAGGAGAUUUGCUUUAAUCUGGAUGCUCUUGUCCUGGACAGAGCAAAGCUGAAGCGCAAGUUGGUAUGUUCUGGUUGGGGAGAUGAACAUACAGCUAGAGAGAGAGAGAGAGAGAGAGAGGCGUGUGUUUUUCAAUAAUGGCGUUUACUUUUUUUUUAGUAUUAUUUCUUUAAUUACAUACUUUAGUUAAUGGGCCUUUAAAUUGUUGGCCCAAAAUAAGUGGAGGCGAAACGGGAAAUUAAUAAAAUAGAUGUUUAUACACAUUUAACUAAUGGGCCUUUUACUUACGGACCCAUUUAAGUGGAUGACAAUGCUUUGGAUCGAUUAUCAACGUGUACUAACUCCUGCCAUUGAUGUCUUUAUGAGCCCACUUGCUGUUUUUAGUUUAAAUCUCAGAUGGACCCAUUAGCUGGCGUAGAGGAUGCGUACUAUCAUUAAAACAUCAGAGUAAGUAUAACUAUCAUCUGACUUGCUACUUUAUGUUUAGCAUGUCUCAUUGAAUAUGUGACGCAGAGGUGCAUUAAUUGUUACUUUCUUGAAAGGUUUACUGUUGGAGACAUCUUUGGUUUACAGCUCGGCAAGACCUGGAAGGAUUCUCUAGGGUACUUGCUUCUUGUGGCUCGUAAACUCUAUAAUCAAUGGUUGGUAUGAUUAGUUCUGAAAACUUUUUAAAUUUUUUUUAGUUCAGUUUAUUGAACUGGGAACAACAAAGACUCAGUGGUUCUGACAUAUACAACGGUCAAGAGGCCGGCCAAAUCAAAGACACGGAGACAGAAGAAGCUUGUUUGAUGUGGGCUCCUCCUAUGUACUAUAUCUCAUCGGGUAAGCUUUCAGUUUAUGAACCAUUUCUUUAAUGGUGAGUCUUUGGAUAUGAAUUUGUUUAUCUAAGUGAUUAUGUUUAAGUACUAUUCUAAAUAUGUUUUACAUGUAAGGGCUGGGGUAUCAAAAUGUUUUUCAAAAGGCUAAUAACAAUGUGAUAGUGUAUCCAUUAGUUAUCUUACAGACAUUAGGAAUGUAAUGUCCCUUUCAAACAUAUUGUCAACACCUUUUCGUGAAAUUUGGACUUUUACUGGAAGCAUCCGGUGAGUUAGCAGUGGCCAUACGUCUUAAUAAUUAUCAAAUGGAUUUAUCCAACAGCCGCCAGUCAUUUUGGCUACAUGCUUGUUGGUGAUUAUCCGAGUUUAUCAAAAUCAUUUCACAAUUAAAAAAUAUUUGCAUUGAGGGUUGGUAAUUCAGCUCGUUUGUGUGUAUACCCAACUUUAUAAGUGAGCAGUCUAGUUAAGAUCAAGUCUAUCUCAUCUAUGAAUUCAUGUUUAAAUUUACAUCUGUAAAACCAAAACUAGACAAUAUAUAAUAAACAUCCCUAAACAUCAAACACUAAUUAAACAGUAAACACAUAAUACUAGUAAAAACCAAUAAUCCUUGGAAUCAAUCUCAGUCCAGUAAUAAUUACAAACUUAAGCAAAUAAUCAAUAAAUAAAAGCUAAAUUUAAAAGUGUCUCUAUUAACACCUAUCAAACCAAACUUUAUGUUUGGCCAUCAAUUUCUACAUAUUGAAAUGAGUGGUUUUAAGUCAUCUCACGAUUCAAGUCUGUAAACAUCCCCGUUCUCUUUCUAAUAAAUUUCCACCAUGCUCAUCGAUUUAUAGUAUACACUUAUAUUUUAUCAUACUCCAAUGUUUAUAAUCUAUAGUUCUUAUAAUCGAAUUAAAUUGAUUAGGUUAUGUUCUACACCCCCUAUUGAAGAUAUAACUAAUCUUAAUCUCAAUUUCUUAUGAAAAGUACUAAUAAAAAACUAAUCAUACUUGUAGUUCGUUUGUAAAAAUAAUAUAUAUAAUCAACAUUCUUUUUUGGCUAAAUUCAGGAAGAAAAUAUAUAAAAUGUGGCACCGACAGUUUAUAAUUUUAAUUUUCCAUAAGAGCAGGUGGCCCAAGGAUUUGGAGAAAAUAGUACAGAGAAUGCAAUUCCAGUCGAACAUGGAAUGUGACAUAUGAUGUUUUAACCCAUUAAUAAAUGUUUUUUUUGUUUCUCUUCUUUAAAUUCCAAUUUUAGUUUUAAGCUAACACUUUCAAAAUACGUAAGUUUCUUUCUCAACUUACUCAUAUAUCGAUUGUCGGCAAAUGUAUACAUAUGAAUGCAUAGUGUAUAUACUUGAGGUGACAUGAUAGUCUCAAUAAGUGUACAUUUUUUCCUCUCGUACCAUUUUCUAUAUGGUCAACAGUGCAUUAACAGAAGGAAAGACAAAUGUUGAAUAGUGGUGGGCGGAUCCAGUCUGAUUAUAGAUCUAGGGAAGAGUUAAUGAAUAGAAUUAUAAUAUUAAGUACGUAUUUAACGCAAGGGAAUGAAACCAUUGAUAUAAAAGAUAGUACUCACUUACAAAAUUGUAAACGGCUAAAAGGUAUAAAACCAAUGCGGUCAACAACAUCUAUACUAUAUUAAAAGGGUUAUAUGAGCAUCAGAGAGAAUGUCCACGUAGGACAAUUAAAUCAUCCAAUCAGAAGACUCCUUUUUGACAUGUCAGCACGAAUUUAUAAAUGUGGGCUUUGUUAUUUUUUUAAUCCCAGAUGUUGAUGUUAAAGUCCAUUCCCUUUGCUCUUCGCCUUCUUCGUUUCACUUUUCACGAUCUGAAAUCUGAAAGGAGAGAUUCGACGUUGUCCUUUGCUCUUCCUCUUCUUCGUUUCCUUUCAUCAUUUUCUAUAUCAAGAAAUCCAUGGCUACGUAGAUGCUAUAUCAAGAUAACCCCUUCGCUCAGACGAAUCCUUAUGUCUCUUCCUCCCCCAAUCUCUACCCUCCCGUCUCCUCGAGCCCUAACCACGACGACUCAUCCAACAACCAACCACCGUCUGCUCCGCCGCAGGCUGUGGAAGAGGUUCACAUCCGAGUCCCCGGCGCAAUCCCAACCUCAUCGACAAAUCAUACAGCGUGGAGCUCGCGUGCGGCGAUCUCACCAUCGUUCGAAUCGUGCAGGGAGAGAGCAUCGUCGCCAUUCUCGCCAACGUCGCUGACGAGAUCCAGUGGCCGUUAACGAAACGCGAGGUUGCGACCAAGGUUGAUGGAUCGCAUUACUUCUUCUCGAUCCAUCCGCCGAAGGAAUCAUGAUCCGAUUCGGAUGAUGAGAUGAUAAACUACGGAUUAACCAUUGCUUCGAAAGGGCAAGAGAACGUGUUACAUGGGCUUGAUCACGUUCUUAGGGACUAUUGCUGUUUCGUGGGGCAGAGGAUGUCUGAGAAGGCGAAGGGUGAAGAGGUGCUUGGAAACUCAAUGGCUGCUGCGAAUUUUCCCGAGGAGUUGAAGGGUGAGAGGAAGGACAUUGUGGAGGGUCAAUGCGCGGCGUAUUGGACCACGCUCGCGCCUAACAUUGAGGUUUACAGUAGCAAGACUGCUAAGAUGAUAGCUUCUUGGUCAGGUCAGCUGAUCAGAGGGAUACUUUGGUGUGGGGAUGUGACUGUGGAGAGGCUUAAGAGGGGGAACGAGGUUAUGAAGAAUAGGCUGAGUCGUGCUGAGAAGGAGAAAGAUGUUAGUCCUGAGACGUUGAGGAGAAUCAAGAGGUAUGGUGAUGUUUAAUAUCAUUUGUAGUAAGAGAUGCUUCUGUGUUCUAAAGAAAGGUUGAGACUUUUUAAUAUAUAUAUAAAUAGUCAAUGUGUUUUGUUAUGGUAGUUUUUAUUGAACGAACAAAUUGUUUGCUUGUGCUAAUUUCUAUGUAAAAGGGUUACGAGAGUGACACAAAUGACGGAGAAAGUGGCGACUGGUGUUCUUUCUGGGGUUGUCAAAGUCUCUGGACUCAUCACUGGCUCGGUGGCUAACUCAAAGGCUGGGAAGAAGUUUUUUGGCCUCUUGCCUGGAGAGAUCAUUCUUGCAUCCCUCGAUGGAUUUAGUAAGUAUAUUACUUGAUUUUGGGUUUCCCACAUUUUAUAUCCCAUGGUUGGAGGGUCUUGGACAAACUUAUUGAUCAUGAAUUGUAUUGCUUUCUUUCUUUCAUCAACAUUUACAAUCAUGCUUUUUUAUCCAUAUUUAUUUCUGAUGAUUAUUAGUUUUUUCUUUCCUAAUUACGUUUCCAGAUGACAACUUGCUAUUGGUAAGGAAACCGGUCGCAGGCUUGGAAUGCGAACCAACAUGUAUCCAUCUGCGGCUCUUCUUGGUACUGUCAAGGACUCCAACAUUGCAUCCAUUCCUGGGAGUUGAUUGAGAAGGCUGAUGGGUUUGCUAGGGUCUUUCCAGGUUAUAACUUGCUUCUUAAACCUCACCAUAUGUUCAUUCGAAAAGGCUUUGUUAUAUUGAUCCAAGCUUCUUAUCUUCUGAUUCCAGAGCACAAAUAUGAAAUUGUGAACAAGCUGCAAGAGAGGAAACACAUUGUUGGAAUGACUGGUGAUGGUGUCAAUGAUGCUCCUGCAUUGAAGAAAGCUGACAUUGGUAUUGCUGUGGCCGAUGCUACAGAUGCUGCUCGUGGUGCUUCAGAUAUUGUUCUCACUGCACCUGGAUUGAGUGUUAUCAUCAGUGCAGUGCUCACUAGCAGAGCUAUCUUCCAGAGAAUGAAGAACUACACCGUGCACAUUCUCUUAGUUUUUUUCUUACAUUAUGCCCACUAUUUGUGUUCGCUUGCACCAAUAUCUAACAUCUUUUUCUUGCUUAUGACAGAUUUAUGCAGUGUCAAUCACAAUCCGUAUUGUGGUAAGUAGACACUCCAUUUAGAUAUCUAUCUCUUAUUACCAUGAUCUUUCUUUUGUGUACUGAUUAUAUUGCGAUAUACUUUGUGCAGUUUGGUUUCAUGCUUAUUGCUCUGAUAUGGGAAUUUGACUUUUCAGCGUUCAUGGUUCUGAUUAUUGCCAUCCUUAAUGACGGUGAGCAAAUGGCUUUACUUUACUAUAUAGACUUCUAAUACUUUAUCUGCAUUAUCUUAUCUUAUGGUAUUGAUUGUUGCUAUCUUUUAGGUACCAUCAUGACAAUCUCAAAGGAUAGAGUCAAGCCAUCUCCCACACCUGAUAGCUGGAAGCUCAAAGAAAUUUUCGCCACCGGAAUUGUGCUUGGAGGUUACCAAGCCGUUAUGAGUGUUGUUUUCUUCUGGUCGAUUCACAAGACCGACUUUUUCUCCGUAAGCUUCAUCAGCUCAUUUUCUUUUCAUCUUUUGUGUAAAGAUNNNNNNNNNNNNNNNNNNNNNNNNNNNNNNNNNNNNNNNNNNNNNNNNNNNNNNNNNNNNNNNNNNNNNNNNNNNNNNNNNNNNNNNNNNUUUUAAAGUUACCUGUUGGCGAUUACCAUUACGGAUAGCUCUCUGCUGCGGUGAGUCCUCAUCAGCUAUAACGAAGAGAUUUGAGAUUUCUUUCAAGGGGAAAAGAUAAAGAACAAUGAGAUUCUUUUGUACCUAUCAAACUUGGAGGUUCGAGAUCACCAGGCGGGUUAAGUUUGACCCACUCGUCCACUGUCUCCUUCCAUUUUCUAGCAGACACAAAAGUGAGUUAGUUGUUUCUUGUUCGAAUUUGAGAUUUGAGCAAGAGAGAAAGUUCUUGUGAAUCUGAUCGUAACUUGACAAGUUUUUUAGCUAGUGUCCGAACAUCGUUCGAUGAAUGCUUCCGAACUUUAUUCACAUGCCUCCCAAUAUCAGUUUCCUAAAGCGACCAAAACAUCAUAUAAACUAUGAAUAAAGAAAGCUAAGAGAGAGUGUUAGUAUUCGAAUUUGACUUCACUACCUGGAGAGCUUGGAAUGUUAUCUCCAUAUCAUCCAGAUUCUGAAGCAGCUCAACCAAAUCUUCUUCCGACUUAAAAACAACAAACAAACCAAAACACUCUUCAAAAACUGAAACCGAAUCUAGAUUCAAGAGAGAUAUUAAGAAGACCAACCAGAUCAGGAUCUUCAAGCCUCUCCUUGAUUUCAAGAACACUCUUCUGCUCAUCAUCAAACAAACCAGCAAACGGAUCGUAACCAUCAUCCUCCUCAUCAUCAUCCUCGCCAUUAACUGAUUUCUCUCUUACUUCUUCUUCCUCCUCCUCCUCGUGAACACUCCCAUUAGCCCUAGCAACCUCUCCUCCGCCUCCACCGAAGUCGCAGUUCCUACACUUGUUAGCCAUGGAGGUCGCGUAGAGACGCUCGACGAUGUUAUCUCUCCGCCGCUUCAGCUCUUGACCGUAAUCAAGGGAGGCAACGAGGAUCGCUGUAUCUAUAAAUGUCCAGACAUCGACGCCUGCGUUAUCCAUAACCGACCGAAAAUCAUCCAAAUCCAUCACCAAAGUUCGUUACUUUACAGAAAUAGAAAAAAAAAACAGAGGAGACGACGAGAU